UGCAAGUCGAGCGCGUGUAGCAAUACACGAGCGGCGCACGGGUGAGUAACGCGUGGAUAUCUGCCUUUUGGUUCGGAAUAACCCCGGGAAACUGGGGCUAAUACCGGAUGGUUCCUACGGGAUAAAGAUUUAUCGCCAAAAGAUGAGUCCGCGUCCGAUUAGCUAGUUGGUGAGGUAACGGCUCACCAAGGCGACGAUCGGUAGCUGGUCUGAGAGGACGAUCAGCCACACUGGGACUGAGACACGGCCCAGACUCCUACGGGAGGCAGCAGUGGGGAAUAUUGGACAAUGGGGGCAACCCUGAUCCAGCCAUGCCGCGUGAGUGAUGAAGGCCUUCGGGUUGUAAAGCUCUUUUGGCGGGGACGAUGAUGACGGUACCCGCAGAAUAAGCCCCGGCUAACUUCGUGCCAGCAGCCGCGGUAAGACGAAGGGGGCUAGCGUUGUUCGGAAUUACUGGGCGUAAAGCGCGUGUAGGCGGUUGUCCAAGUUGGAUGUGAAAGCCUUGAGCUCAACUCAAGAAAUGCAUUCAGGACUGGAUGACUAGAGGA
This 548-nucleotide ribosomal RNA is filed under the name Azospirillum sp. Is-C406. Its description in RNAcentral is "bacterial SSU rRNA". It matches the Rfam family "Bacterial small subunit ribosomal RNA", at positions 56 to 648 of the family's 1533-position model. Lineage: Bacteria; Pseudomonadati; Pseudomonadota; Alphaproteobacteria; Rhodospirillales; Azospirillaceae. The record is from RNAcentral.